GUCUAUGGAAUAGCUCAGUCCGCAGAGCAUGUGACUCUCAAUUUCAAGGUUGUGGGUUCAAGCCCCACGUUGGGCA
RNAcentral lists this transfer RNA (76 nucleotides) under Podarcis lilfordi (Lilford's wall lizard). RNAcentral's name for it is "tRNA.Glu". The stretch from base 11 to 68 matches the Rfam family "tRNA", at positions 8 to 63 of the family's 71-position model. From Rfam's summary of the family: Transfer RNA (tRNA) molecules are approximately 80 nucleotides in length. Their secondary structure includes four short double-helical elements and three loops (D, anti-codon, and T loops). Further hydrogen bonds mediate the characteristic L-shaped molecular structure. tRNAs have two regions of fundamental functional importance: the anti-codon, which is responsible for specific mRNA codon recognition, and the 3' end, to which the tRNAs corresponding amino acid is attached (by aminoacyl-tRNA synthetases). tRNAs cope with the degeneracy of the genetic code in two manners: having more than one tRNA (with a specific anti-codon) for a particular amino acid; and 'wobble' base-pairing, i.e. permitting non-standard base-pairing at the 3rd anti-codon position. The record is from RNAcentral. Lineage: Eukaryota; Metazoa; Chordata; Lepidosauria; Squamata; Lacertidae.